Molecule: long non-coding RNA, 312 nt
Filed under: Homo sapiens (human)
Lineage: Eukaryota; Metazoa; Chordata; Mammalia; Primates; Hominidae
Description: non-protein coding lnc-KLF11-1:2
Source: RNAcentral
AGUGAGCCCCCGUGAAACAAGGGGCGUCCGGCAGUCCCUUUCCACCUGUCUCCACCCAGAGGAAAACGCAGGGACUGAGACACCCUCAUCCCCUCCCUUCCUGCCCCGCCGCUGGAGCUUUGUAAGCUGGAGCCAGGAAGCCGGAGUGUGGGGAACUUGAAAGGUCUGUAGCCCCUGCUGUGACACCGCUGAGCAGGAAACCGCGUGCGUCCACAAGCAGCCCCAAGGCCUUGUUGUAGGACAGUGGACAGUUUGCUCUCCCGGCUGAGGCUGCCCACCCCAGGGUUCCUGCAGUGCCUCACCUGCCCCCGG